RNAcentral lists this ribosomal RNA (301 nucleotides) under uncultured bacterium. RNAcentral's name for it is "partial 16S ribosomal RNA". It matches the Rfam family "Bacterial small subunit ribosomal RNA", at positions 509 to 807 of the family's 1533-position model. The record is from RNAcentral.
CAGUAGCCACGGUAAUACGUAGGUGGCAAGCGUUGUCCGGAAUUAUUGGGCGUAAAGGGCUCGCAGGCGGUUUCUUAAGUCUGAUGUGAAAGCCCCCGGCUCAACCGGGGAGGGUCAUUGGAAACUGGGAAACUUGAGUGCAGAAGGGGAGAGUGGAAUUCCACGUGUAGCGGUGAAAUGCGUAGAGAUGUGGAGGAACACCAGUGGCGAAGGCGACUCUCUGGUCUGUAACUGACGCUGAGGAGCGAAAGCGUGGGGAGCGAACGGGAUUAGAUACCCGUGUAGUCCCUGUCUCUUAUAC